AGUAGAGCGGCGCACGGGUGAGUAACGCGUGGGUAACCUACCCCUGGGCGGGGGAUAACCACUCGAAAGGGUGGCUAAUACCGCAUGAGACCACGGGGCCUUCGGGUCCUGAGGCCAAAGGUGGCACCGGCUUGCCGGUGCUGUCACCUGGGGAUGGGCCCGCGUACGAUUAGCUGGUUGGUAGGGUAACGGCCUACCAAGGCUACGAUCGUUAGCUGGUCUGAGAGGAUGGCCAGCCACACUGGAACUGGAACACGGUCCAGACUCCUACGGGAGGCAGCAGUGAGGAAUAUUGCGCAAUGGGGGAAACCCUGACGCAGCAACGCCGCGUGGGUGAAGAAGGCCUUCGGGUCGUAAAGCCCUUUCGGACGGGACGAACGCUUCGCGGUGACAACCCGCGAAGUCUGACGGUACCGUAAGAAGAAGCACCGGCUAACUCCGUGCCAGCAGCCGCGGUAAUACGGAGGGUGCAAGCGUUGUUCGGAAUUACUGGGCGUAAAGCGCGUGUAGGCGGCCUGGUAAGUCAGAUGUGAAAGCCCUCGGCUUAACCGGGGAAGGGCAUCUGAAACUGCCUGGCUUG
RNAcentral lists this ribosomal RNA (580 nucleotides) under uncultured bacterium. RNAcentral's name for it is "bacterial SSU rRNA". It matches the Rfam family "Bacterial small subunit ribosomal RNA", at positions 89 to 644 of the family's 1533-position model. The record is from RNAcentral.